UAAACCUUGUGCUAUUUGCUGAAUCCUCUCUUGUCAAUUUCCUCCAUUCAUUACAGGGAGCAAAAAUGUGGCUAAAUCUUGUGUCCUUACUAGUAUUCCUCAAAGGAGCCCAAUCUCAAAUCCAGUUGGUGGAAUCUGGAGGAGAUGUGAGAAGACCUGAAGAGUCCCUCCGUCUCUCCUGCCAAGCCUCGGGCUUCACCUUCAGCAGCUACCACAUGCACUGGGUGAGACAGGCUCCAGGGAAAGGACUGGAAUGGGUGUCAUACAUCUAUACUGAUUCCAGUGGAAAGUUCUACUCGGACAAAGUGAAGGGCCGCUUCACCGUCUCCAGGGACAAUGCCAAAAGCCAGCUGUAUCUGCAAAUGAACAGCCUCAAAGCUGAAGACACGGCAAUUUAUUACUGUGCAAGAGACACAGUGAGAGGAAGUGAAUCUGAAGCCAAACAAAAACCUUCCUUUCUUCAGAGCAUUUCUUCAACUUGUCUAAGGCGCCAAUCCUGGGUUAUCAAUGAGGGUUGGUUAUUGUCUAGUGAGAACUUCAGAACGAAUCCAGAAAAUAUUGGAGUUCCUCUCAAGGGAUCUCAAAACGAUUUAAUUCCUCACGACACCGAAAUCCUUACUGGGAAGCCCUACAGAUAA
Non-coding RNA from Pantherophis guttatus, 638 nucleotides. The record is from the annotation of a RefSeq genome assembly. Lineage: Eukaryota; Metazoa; Chordata; Lepidosauria; Squamata; Colubridae.